Molecule: long non-coding RNA, 506 nt
Filed under: Zonotrichia albicollis (white-throated sparrow)
Lineage: Eukaryota; Metazoa; Chordata; Aves; Passeriformes; Passerellidae
Description: lncRNA (ENSZALG00000003274.1)
Source: RNAcentral
AAAUAAUCUAAUCUUGGUUUUGAAUUCAGCCCUACAAGCCCAUUUUUGAAUUUUAGGAUUUUCUGACUUUCUCCUGAUUCUGAGAAGGAUGUAGCACUGCUUCACUGAUGCUUCAAGAAGAGAGGAGGAGCAGUGUCUGAAGCCUGUGCUGUUCCCUGUAAGAGUAAAUACAAUAUGUCUUCAAGGCACUUUCUUUGCCUGGAGAGGGGCUGAAGAAGAGGGAUAAAGCAGAAAUUUCCAGAGUCUUCAUCUGCCUGCUGCUUUACAGAUUAAACAUAGCGCAUUGCUUCGGGGGAGGCUGGCAGAUUUGGAAAACGAAGUGCAUCUCCUGGGUGGCUUCCCGGCUCCCUGCACAGGACCAAGAGGCAUAAGCUCCUAAAGACCUGAGCCUCUGUUUGGCAAACCCAUAUGUGGGAAGAUGAAAGCAGUCGGAGGCCUUUUGGAAGGGACCCAUGUGGCCUGCAGUACCUCUGGCAGACUGUCUUUUACAGAGAUGUCAAUGAGGU